RNAcentral lists this ribosomal RNA (253 nucleotides) under uncultured bacterium. RNAcentral describes it as "partial 16S ribosomal RNA". It matches the Rfam family "Bacterial small subunit ribosomal RNA", at positions 524 to 776 of the family's 1533-position model. The record is from RNAcentral.
UACGCAGGGGGCUAGCGUUGCUCGGAAUCACUGGGCGUAAAGCGCACGUAGGCGGAUCUUUAAGUCAGAGGUGAAAUCCCAAGGCUCAACCUUGGAACUGCCUUUGAUACUGGGGAUCUCGAGUCCGGAAGAGGUGAGUGGAACUGCGAGUGUAGAGGUGAAAUUCGUAGAUAUUCGCAAGAACACCAGUGGCGAAGGCGGCUCACUGGUCCGGUACUGACGCUGAGGUGCGAAAGCGUGGGGAGCAAACAGG